GAGAGGUGCUUGCACCUCUUGAGAGCGGCGGACGGGUGAGUAAUGCCUAGGAAUCUGCCUGGUAGUGGGGGAUAACGCUCGGAAACGGACGCUAAUACCGCAUACGUCCUACGGGAGAAAGCAGGGGACCUUCGGGCCUUGCGCUAUCAGAUGAGCCUAGGUCGGAUUAGCUAGUUGGUGAGGUAAUGGCUCACCAAGGCGACGAUCCGUAACUGGUCUGAGAGGAUGAUCAGUCACACUGGAACUGAGACACGGUCCAGACUCCUACGGGAGGCAGCAGUGGGGAAUAUUGGACAAUGGGCGAAAGCCUGAUCCAGCCAUGCCGCGUGUGUGAAGAAGGUCUUCGGAUUGUAAAGCACUUUAAGUUGGGAGGAAGGGCCAUUACCUAAUACGUGAUGGUUUUGACGUUACCGACAGAAUAAGCACCGGCUAACUCUGUGCCAGCAGCCGCGGUAAUACAGAGGGUGCAAGCGUUAAUCGGAAUUACUGGG
RNAcentral lists this ribosomal RNA (491 nucleotides) under Pseudomonas sp. M25. Its description in RNAcentral is "bacterial SSU rRNA". It matches the Rfam family "Bacterial small subunit ribosomal RNA", at positions 71 to 558 of the family's 1533-position model. Lineage: Bacteria; Pseudomonadati; Pseudomonadota; Gammaproteobacteria; Pseudomonadales; Pseudomonadaceae. The record is from RNAcentral.